This 260-nucleotide non-coding RNA is filed under the name Lophodermium illiciicola. Its description in RNAcentral is "partial 18S ribosomal RNA". The stretch from base 12 to 230 matches the Rfam family "Group I catalytic intron". Rfam says of the family: Group I catalytic introns are large self-splicing ribozymes. They catalyse their own excision from mRNA, tRNA and rRNA precursors in a wide range of organisms. The record is from RNAcentral. Lineage: Eukaryota; Fungi; Ascomycota; Leotiomycetes; Rhytismatales; Rhytismataceae.
CGUAACAAGGUUUCCGUAGGUCGAGUUCAGCCUACUACAGCGGCGCAUAGCGCCUGCUAGUCAGCACCUUUAGUGGUCUGGCAACACGCUUAAUGUGCGGAAAGAGCCUGGAAGCAGGCAAAUCCGCAGCCCACCGCCCUUACCCGGCGGUUGGCUCAGAGACUCAAUAAGCGUGGGUUUGGCCAUAGGCCAGGCUUAAGAUAGAGCCCAGCUCAGCGGGUGACCGCUGGGACCAACUGGAACCUGCGGAAGGAUCAUUA